UCAAGCACUGCAUUUUAUUCAUUUUCUUUCUUUAAUGUUAAAUUUCUUUCUGCUUUCUCUUUCAGUGACUAGAGAAAAAAUCCAGGAACACAUCAUCAACCAGGUGGAUGGAGUGAUUUACAACUGUUUGAGGUUCUCGAAACGUGCAGCCACAC
RNAcentral lists this long non-coding RNA (155 nucleotides) under Dasypus novemcinctus (nine-banded armadillo). RNAcentral describes it as "lncRNA (ENSDNOG00000051557.1)". The record is from RNAcentral. Lineage: Eukaryota; Metazoa; Chordata; Mammalia; Cingulata; Dasypodidae.